UACAGAGGGCUCAAGCGUUGUUCGGAUUCAUUGGGCGUAAAGGGUGCGUAGGUGGCGCGGUAAGUCGGGUGUGAAAUUUCGGAGCUUAACUCCGAAACUGCAUUCGAUACUGCGGUGCUUGAGGACUGGAGAGGAGACUGGAAUUCAUGGUGUAGCAGUGAAAUGCGUAGAGAUCAUGAGGAAGACCAGUGGCGAAGGCGGGUCUCUGGACAGUUCCUGACACUGAGACACGAAGGCCAGGGGAGCAAACGGG
RNAcentral lists this ribosomal RNA (253 nucleotides) under uncultured bacterium. RNAcentral describes it as "partial 16S ribosomal RNA". It matches the Rfam family "Bacterial small subunit ribosomal RNA", at positions 524 to 776 of the family's 1533-position model. The record is from RNAcentral.